RNAcentral lists this ribosomal RNA (467 nucleotides) under uncultured bacterium. RNAcentral describes it as "partial 16S ribosomal RNA". It matches the Rfam family "Bacterial small subunit ribosomal RNA", at positions 28 to 506 of the family's 1533-position model. The record is from RNAcentral.
GACGAACGCUGGCGGCGUGCUUAACACAUGCAAGUCGAACGGAAAGGCCCUGCUUUUGUGGGGUGCUCGAGUGGCGAACGGGUGAGUAACACGUGAGUAACCUGCCCUUGACUUUGGGAUAACUUCAGGAAACUGGGGCUAAUACCGGAUAGGAGCUCCUGCUGCAUGGUGGGGGUUGGAAAGUUUCGGCGGUUGGGGAUGGACUCGCGGCUUAUCAGCUUGUUGGUGGGGUAGUGGCUUACCAAGGCUUUGACGGGUAGCCGGCCUGAGAGGGUGACCGGCCACAUUGGGACUGAGAUACGGCCCAGACUCCUACGGGAGGCAGCAGUGGGGAAUAUUGCACAAUGGGCGGAAGCCUGAUGCAGCAACGCCGCGUGCAGGAUGACGGCCUUCGGGUUGUAAACCGCUUUCGCCUGUGACGAAGCGUGAGUGACGGUAAUGGGUAAAGAAGCACCGGCGAACUACGU